This is a long non-coding RNA of Zingiber officinale, 253 nucleotides long. RefSeq lists it as uncharacterized. The record is from RefSeq and is a predicted model, not a curated record. The transcript has 3 exons. Lineage: Eukaryota; Viridiplantae; Streptophyta; Magnoliopsida; Zingiberales; Zingiberaceae.
AGAAAUAAUCCGAAGCUUCUCAAUAAGGUACCUCAAGGACAUUGCAUUUCACGUGAAGAUUGGAGUAGUUUUGUGAUUAAUCGGAUGUCUGAAGACUUUAUAAGGAAAAGUGAACUACAAAGUCAGAGAAGCAAGGAAAACUUAUACCCUCAUCGUCUUUCUCGAAAAGGAUAUGCGGGUUUGUCUGAAGAAAUAUCUAGUGUUUUAUGUGAUGACGAAGAGAUAAACAGAGCCAUCCUCUGGAAGAAAGGGC